ACUUAUAAUCUUCUUAUUUUUCUUCUCCUGGAACUUGGAUCUAAAAUUGCCGAUGGCGAGACCUGAAUCUUCCGGUGCUAGAGUCAUCGCCUUGUUGACAUCGACUGCUUCUAUGUGGAAGAAAAAGUUCUGGGGAAGAUAGCCUCUCUUGUCCUGCAAGAAGUUUGUCUUGUUUAAGGUCGUGGUUCUGUGCUUGCUUCUCCUCAGCAUCUAAAAGUUGUGCUAUUAGAUGCGGAGAAGAAGCAAGCACAGAACCACGAGCUGUGCCUUUGGCUUUGGAGGCUUAAGCUUCUCUGUUAUGAUGCUGAGGAUGUGCUGGAUGAGCUGGAAUAUGAAGGCUUGUGGAAAAAGUUGGUGAAACAGUAUGGCAGUGAAUAAAGGUAAGCUGGUUCUUGUCAAGCUCAAAUCCACUUGCAUUCCGUUUCAAAAUGGGUCAUAAAAUAAAGGGACUUAGGGAGAGGCUAGAUGAGAUAGCAGAUCAGAAAUCAAAAUUUCAUCUUACUGAGCUAGUUGAUUAUUGAACAGUCGUUUGCAGACAAAGGGAGCUGUGUACAUCGAAUGUUGUUGGAAGAGAUGCGGAAAAAUAAGUAGACAUGGGACUUUGAAGAUAUACCUGUACCCUUGUCCGAUCAGUAUAUCUUAUGGGUGUCGUGUACUUUGCCAACAUCUUCGUAGGGAACAUGUUCAGUCAUGAAAUACUUUCUUGGCCAAAAUUCAUCUGAGUGUGCACGGAUGCCAUUAACAGAUAACUUCAGCAAAGAAUCUAUAGCUUUUGUCACCAACAGGUGUAUAUGGUUUUAUCCUUCAUGUAUUAUUAAUUUUUCUAAUUCCCCUUUUCCUGGUCUAAUUGGGUUAGGUGUUAACCUAUAUAGUGGAAGCUUUACGGAAUUCAUUUCAAUUGAGCCACGCACAGAGUUGCCUGAGGAGAAUGCCUGAUUUGGGUCAAGAAGAGCACGAAACGGCCACAGGAAGAGACCAGGUUAUGAUACCCAUAAGGCCAUAAAAUGAUUCUGCUUUAGAAAGAUGACGUCCAAUUUAAGAUCAUUUCAUGAGAUAUGUUGUGCUCAUUAUCAAAGCAGGCACAAGAUGAGUUAACGUGAGAAACUUCACCAUUGUCAUCAGAAGGUUAGGUGUUCAUUCAAGGACUGCAAGCUGUCAUAUACUGAAGCAAAAUAAUCCUGAAAGAGACUUCCAUAGGGAUGAGCUCAUGAGCCUAUACUUUCUCACUAUUUACUGAUACCUUAACCGCAAUGCUCGCUAGUACUGGCUAGUCAAGUUUUUUCAGCCCCCAGAUCUGCAGCCCCCCUUGCUCUUCACAAAAAAAGGAGUGCUCUGGAACUGUCCAAGAUGCCAAAGCUUCAUUAUUAUUAGGUGUUCAGAGUUGAAUGAAGGUGUUCUGCCCGAAGGAAGUCCUCUUGCUGAGACUGGGAGCAGUAAUGGCCGGCCUAGCUCAGGUCAACAUGACGAAUAAGAAAAGCGUCGAGUUCCAAAUGUAGAUGAAAUUGACCAAUCUGUGAUUGACAAGUUACCACCAGAACUCCAGGUGGAAAUUCGUGCCUCUCUUCGGUCUUGUAAGCAAAAUAGAAUAUGUUUGGUGAGUGAAGGUUGUUUGGCCGUUAGGAUGCAGUGACUUUUGGUAGCAAUGUUACUAAAAUGUGGUUGAAGUUAUAGUCCUAGUGUUCAAAUGGAGGAGAAAAGUUUUUAUUUCUCAACUAUUGUGGUCCGAGAAGUUUCACUCCUUUAAAGACAGUAUGAGUAUGUGCUAUCAAACUUGAUAUAUUUAAGGUUUAUAUGUUCUUGUUUGAUUGGAUGAAUUUUGUUUUGAUUUUGUGGUAUGUAAUAAAUAGCGAUCCAUCUUGAUUCUAUC
This is a long non-coding RNA of Tripterygium wilfordii, 1867 nucleotides long. RefSeq lists it as uncharacterized. Lineage: Eukaryota; Viridiplantae; Streptophyta; Magnoliopsida; Celastrales; Celastraceae. The transcript is spliced from 5 exons. The record is from RefSeq and is a predicted model, not a curated record.